GACAGAGGAGGCAAGCGUUGUUCGGAAUCAUUGGGCUUAAAGCGCGUGUAGGCGGCUCUGAAAGUGUCUUGUGAAAUCCCACGGCUCACCCGUGGAACUGCAGGGCAAACUGCAGGGCUUGAGGUCGGUAGGGGCGUCCGGAACUCUGGGUGGAGCGGUGAAAUGCGUAGAUAUCCAGAGGAACGCCGGAGGCGAAAGCGGGACGCUGGGCCGAUACUGACGCUGAGACGCGAAAGCGUGGGGAGCAAACAGG
This 253-nucleotide ribosomal RNA is filed under the name uncultured bacterium. RNAcentral's name for it is "partial 16S ribosomal RNA". It matches the Rfam family "Bacterial small subunit ribosomal RNA", at positions 524 to 776 of the family's 1533-position model. The record is from RNAcentral.